GACAGUCGCGUGGAAGGGGCGAAAGGCCCUUCCGUGAGGAAAGUCCGGGCUCCACAGGGCAAGGAUAACGGGUAACGCCCGCCGAAGGCGACUUCAGGAAAAGUGCAACAGAGAUAUACCGCCUCGUCGUCGCAAGCUUCCUAUUCUUUUUCGUUUUCUCUACACUCCGUAAAGAACCCAGCGAAGCGGUUCUUUACGGAAAAGGAGGAACAGCGAAAUGAGUGAGCCGUGCCGUAUCGCGGCGCGGCGAAGGAUAUGAAGCUUGUGACGACGUGGUAAGGGUGGAAAAGUGCGGUAAGAGCGCACUCAAUGGCUGGGAACAGUCCAUUGCUGUAAACUCUAUCCGGAGCAACACCGGUAUGGGAGCGGGAGCUUCGCGCUCUAAGGCUGGCCCGGCCGCUCCCGGGGUGGCUUGAGCGUAUCGGCAACGGUACGUCGAGAUAGAUGACUGUCAAAUACAGAACCCGGCUUAUAGUUUUGCUCG
This 484-nucleotide RNase P RNA is filed under the name uncultured Dysosmobacter sp. RNAcentral's name for it is "Bacterial RNase P class A". It matches the Rfam family "Bacterial RNase P class A". Rfam says of the family: Ribonuclease P (RNase P) is a ubiquitous endoribonuclease, found in archaea, bacteria and eukarya as well as chloroplasts and mitochondria. Its best characterised activity is the generation of mature 5'-ends of tRNAs by cleaving the 5'-leader elements of precursor-tRNAs. Cellular RNase Ps are ribonucleoproteins. The record is from RNAcentral. Lineage: Bacteria; Bacillati; Bacillota; Clostridia; Eubacteriales; Oscillospiraceae.